RNAcentral lists this ribosomal RNA (530 nucleotides) under Apiotrichum scarabaeorum. RNAcentral's name for it is "eukaryotic LSU rRNA". The stretch from base 148 to 301 matches the Rfam family "5.8S ribosomal RNA". The record is from RNAcentral. Lineage: Eukaryota; Fungi; Basidiomycota; Tremellomycetes; Trichosporonales; Trichosporonaceae.
UCCGUAGGUGAACCUGCGGAAGGAUCAUUAGUGAUUGCCUUAAUUGGCUAACUAUAUCCAUCUACACCUGUGAACAGUUCGAUUGAAUCUUACGAUUCAAUUUUACAAACAUUGUGUAAUGAACGUCAUUAGAUCAUAACAUGAAAAAACUUUCAACAACGGAUCUCUUGGCUCUCGCAUCGAUGAAGAACGCAGCGAAUUGCGAUAAGUAAUGUGAAUUGCAGAAUUCAGUGAAUCAUCGAAUCUUUGAACGCAACUUGCGCUCUCUGGUAUUCCGGAGAGCAUGCCUGUUUGAGUGUCAUGAAAUCUCAACCAUUAGGGUUUCUUAAUGGCUUGGAUUUGGAGGUUGCCAGUCUGACUGGCUCCUCUUAAAGGAGUUAGCAAGUUUGACUAUUGCUAUCUGGCGUAAUAAGUUUCGCUGGAAUGGUAUUGUGAAGCGUGCUUCUAAUCGUCUUCGGACAAUUUUUUGACUCUGGCCUCAAAUCAGGUAGGACUACCCGCUGAACUUAAGCAUAUCAAUAAGCGGAGGA